RNAcentral lists this ribosomal RNA (468 nucleotides) under uncultured bacterium. RNAcentral describes it as "partial 16S ribosomal RNA". It matches the Rfam family "Bacterial small subunit ribosomal RNA", at positions 28 to 507 of the family's 1533-position model. The record is from RNAcentral.
GACGAACGCUGGCGGCGUGCUUAACACAUGCAAGUCGAACGGAAAGGCCCUGCUUUUGUGGGGUGCUCGAGUGGCGAACGGGUGAGUAACACGUGAGUAACCUGCCCUUGACUUUGGGAUAACUUCAGGAAACUGGGGCUAAUACCGGAUAGGAGCUCCUGCUGCAUGGUGGGGGUUGGAAAGUUUCGGCGGUUGGGGAUGGACUCGCGGCUUAUCAGCUUGUUGGUGGGGUAGUGGCUUACCAAGGCUUUGACGGGUAGCCGGCCUGAGAGGGUGACCGGCAACAUUGGGAGGGAGAUACGGCCCAGACUCCGACGGGAGGCAGGAGGGGGGAAUAUUGCACAAGGGGCGGAGGCCUGAGGCAGCAACGCCGGGGGGGGGAGGACGGCUUUGGGGUUGUAAACCGCUUGCGCCGGUGACGAAGCGGGAGUGACGGUAAGGGGUAAAGAAGCACCGGCUAACUACGUG